This 505-nucleotide unclassified non-coding RNA is filed under the name Hevea brasiliensis (rubber tree). The record is from RNAcentral. Lineage: Eukaryota; Viridiplantae; Streptophyta; Magnoliopsida; Malpighiales; Euphorbiaceae.
AUAGGUGUGGGAUUUGAUUGCAAUCCAAUGGUUUUUGGAGCUGAUGAAAGAGGAAUAUGGAGCUUUGUCAGGUUCCUUGGUGAAAGGAAAUCUUCAUUUUCAGGGUCAAAGUAUGGUUCACAGUUUUCUGAGGCAUUUGGAAAAUUUUAUGGCCAAUCAAAGACUGGUGUGAGCAAUGAUGGCAUUGAUCCUUCAAGAUCACGUGGAGGCGUUCAUGAGAACUGCAUAAAUUGCGUUGUGUCUCUUGGGGAGGAGGGCAGUUCCAGAACGCUGCGCUUCAGCACUUCAGGAUUAGAUGGGAGAGUGGUUAUCUGGGCUCUGGAGAACCAGGAAGAUCUAUCCGAAUAUCUGUGAAGGAUUUCAUAUUUUUCAAGCCCGUAUCUGGGAAUAUCUUUGAGCAAGUAUUGAAUACUGGAAUAUGCUUUUUUAUAUCAUCAAUUGGCCAGGAGCCCUCAAACUCAGCUAUGUAUAAACUCACGUGGUGCCAAGAUAAUAUUAGCUUUUU